GAUGAACGCUCGCUACAGGCUUAACACAUGCAAGUCGAGGGGCAGCAUGGUCUUAGCUUUCUCAGGCCGAUGGCGACCGGCGCACGGGUGAGUAACACGUAUCCAACCUGCCGUCUACUCUUGGACAGCCUUCUGAAAGGAAGAUUAAUACAAGAUGGCAUCAUGAGUCCGCAUGUUCACAUUAUUAAAGGUAUUCCGGUAGACGGUGGGGAUGCGUUCCAUUAGAUAGUAGGCGGGGUAACGGCCCACCUAGUCUUCGAUGGAUAGGGGUUCUGAGAGGAAGGUCCACCACAUUGGAACUGAGACACGGUCCAAACUCCUACGGGAGGCAGCAGUGAGGAAUAUUGGUCAAUGGGCGAGAGCCUGAACAAGCCAAGUAGCGUGAAGGACGACUGCCCUAUGGGUUGUAAACUUCUUUUAUCAAGGAAUAAAGUCGGGUAUGGAUACCCGUUUGCAUGUACUUUAUGAAUAAGGAUCGGCUAACUCCGUG
Molecule: ribosomal RNA, 490 nt
Filed under: uncultured bacterium
Lineage: Bacteria
Description: partial 16S ribosomal RNA
Rfam family: Bacterial small subunit ribosomal RNA
Source: RNAcentral